UACGUAGGGUGCAAGCGUUGUCCGGAAUUAUUGGGCGUAAAGAGCUCGUAGGCGGUCUGUCGCGUCGGCUGUGAAAACCCGGAGCUCAACUCCGGGCCUGCAGUCGAUACGGGCAAACUAGAGUAUUGCAGGGGAGACUGGAAUUCCUGGUGUAGCGGUGAAAUGCGCAGAUAUCAGGAGGAACACCGGUGGCGAAGGCGGCCUGCUGGGCUAUGGCUGACACUGGAGGCGCGACAGCGUGGGGAGCAAACAGG
Molecule: ribosomal RNA, 254 nt
Filed under: uncultured bacterium
Lineage: Bacteria
Description: partial 16S ribosomal RNA
Rfam family: Bacterial small subunit ribosomal RNA
Source: RNAcentral